Molecule: ribosomal RNA, 440 nt
Filed under: uncultured bacterium
Lineage: Bacteria
Description: bacterial SSU rRNA
Rfam family: Bacterial small subunit ribosomal RNA
Source: RNAcentral
CCUANGGGAGGCAGCAGUGGGGAAUUUUGCGCAAUGGGCGAAAGCCUGACGCAGCGACGCCGCGUGGAGGACGAAGGUCUUCGGAUUGUAAACUCCUUUUGCAGGGGAAGAUAAUGACGGUACCCUGCGAAUAAGCCACGGCUAACUCUGUGCCAGCAGCCGCGGUAAGACAGAGGUGGCAAGCGUUGUUCGGAAUUACUGGGCUUAAAGGGCGCGUAGGCGGUGGAGUAAGUCCGGGGUGGAAGUCUAAGGCUCAACCUUAGGAUUGCCCUGGAAACUGCAUCACUUGAGUCAGCGAGGGGAUGGCGGAAUUCCCAGUGUAGCGGUGAAAUGCGUAGAUAUUGGGAGGAAGGCCGGUGGCGAAGGCGGCCAUCUGGCGCUGAACUGACGCUGAGGCGCGAAAGCGUGGGGAGCAAACAGGAUUAGAUACCCCGNUANUC